ACUGAUUAUUUACAUGGAGUCUGGUGGACAUAUGCUGCUCUAGACACGCUAUAAGUAGAGAUUAUUUACAUGGAGUCUGGUGGAGAUAUGCUGCUUUAGACACGCUAUAAGUAGUGAUUAUUUACAUGGAGUCUGGUGGAGAUAUGCUGCUCUAGACCCGCUAAAAGUAGAGAUUAUUUACAUGGAGUCUGGUGGAGAUAUGCUGCUCUAUACACGCUAAAAGUAGUGGUUAUUUACAUGGAGUCUGUUGGGUUUAACGAACGCAAUUUCGUGGAUGUUAUUGAGGUUAAAAAAAGGAUAGUA
Molecule: long non-coding RNA, 303 nt
Organism: Etheostoma spectabile (orangethroat darter)
Lineage: Eukaryota; Metazoa; Chordata; Actinopteri; Perciformes; Percidae
Exons: 4
Source: RefSeq, a predicted model, not a curated record